AACGAACGCUGGCGGCAUGCCUAACACAUGCAAGUCGAACGAGACCUUCGGGUCUAGUGGCGCACGGGUGCGUAACACGUGGGAAUUUGCCUCGGGGUAUGGAAUAACUCAGGGAAACUUGAGCUAAUACCAUAUAAUGUCUUCGGACCAAAGAUUUAUCGCCCUGAGAUAAGCCCGCGUAGGAUUAGCUAGUUGGUGGGGUAAAGGCUCACCAAGGCGACGAUCCUUAGCUGGUCUGAGAGGAUGAUCAGCCACACUGGGACUGAGACACGGCCCAGACUCCUACGGGAGGCAGCAGUGGGAAUAUUGGACAAUGGGCGAAAGCCUGAUCCAGCAAUGCCGCGUGGAGUGAUGGAAGGCCCUUCGGGUUGUUAAAGGGUACCUACUUUUUACC
Molecule: ribosomal RNA, 394 nt
Filed under: uncultured bacterium
Lineage: Bacteria
Description: bacterial SSU rRNA
Rfam family: Bacterial small subunit ribosomal RNA
Source: RNAcentral